GCGCAAGUGGUUUAGUGGUAAAAUCCAACGUUGCCAUCGUUGGGCCCCCGGUUCGAUUCCGGGCUUGCGGA
Molecule: transfer RNA, 71 nt
Filed under: Saccharomyces cerevisiae (brewer's yeast)
Lineage: Eukaryota; Fungi; Ascomycota; Saccharomycetes; Saccharomycetales; Saccharomycetaceae
Rfam family: tRNA
About the family: Transfer RNA (tRNA) molecules are approximately 80 nucleotides in length.
Source: RNAcentral